Molecule: ribosomal RNA, 439 nt
Filed under: uncultured bacterium
Lineage: Bacteria
Description: partial 16S ribosomal RNA
Rfam family: Bacterial small subunit ribosomal RNA
Source: RNAcentral
CUACGGGCGGCAGCAGUGAGGAAUAUUGCACAAUGGGGGGAACCCUGAUGCAGCAACGCCGCGUGGAGGAUGACGCAUUUCGGUGUGUAAACUCCUUUUAUAUGUCAAGAAAAUGACGGUAGCAUAUGAAUAAGCACCGGCUAACUCCGUGCCAGCAGCCGCGGUAAUACGGAAGGUGCAAGCGUUACUCGGAAUCACUAGGCGUAAAGUACGCGUAGGCGGGUUGGAAAGUCAGGUGUGAAAUCCUACAGCUUAACUGUAGAACUGCACUUGAAACUUCUAAGCUAGAGGAUGGGAGGGGGAGAUGGAAUUAGUGGUGUAGGGGUAACAUCCGUAGAUAUCACUAGGAAUACCUAAAGCGAAGGCGAUCUCCUGGAACAUUACUGACGCUAAGGCGUGAAAGCGUGGGGAGCAAACAGGAUUAGAUACCCCUGUAGUC